CGCCUGCAUAUUCCUACGACUUCUCAGAGUCCUGUGGACCGUGACUGAGGAGACAAACCUGCAGGAAACAGUCUUAAAUCGCAAUCUGGGGGUGGGUCUGCAUACUUUAAGCGUUUAAUUUACUGACGGAGUGUCUUCUAUUGCAGAAUUGAUGAGUGAUCCCAAAGAACUCAUUGAGGAAAGAAGAGGAUCUAUCUGUACAGGUGCCUGUUGAUUUACUUGAUAAAAGGCUUUGAGGCCUUUUAAUUAUAUGCAGCUUGGUGAAAUCUUGUCCAUAUUAUGGCCUCAUCCCUUGGAAGCUGGACAAGCUUUUGUGCCUACUCAAUUCUGUCUGGCAAUUGCAUUUUCCAUACAGGUUGUGUCUAGAUUUGUGAAAAUGAAGCAUGGUUCUCCUUUUUGAGGUCCAGGAGGUUUCCCCAGGACCAUGUUAUAUAAACUUUAUACUUUUUGUUCCCAUGUUCUCUGUAAGAUUGUAGCCAUGAGUUCAGAUCCAGAAUGGGUUAUGCGAUCCAGUUGUAAUCUAUGAGUCUUUGUGAUAUGCCUGACAAGUUUGAAUUAAAGCUUUUUGAAUGCCAAAAAAAAAAAA
This 586-nucleotide long non-coding RNA is filed under the name Rattus norvegicus (Norway rat). RNAcentral's name for it is "long non-coding RNA NONRATT023360". The record is from RNAcentral. Lineage: Eukaryota; Metazoa; Chordata; Mammalia; Rodentia; Muridae.